This 468-nucleotide ribosomal RNA is filed under the name uncultured bacterium. Its description in RNAcentral is "partial 16S ribosomal RNA". It matches the Rfam family "Bacterial small subunit ribosomal RNA", at positions 28 to 507 of the family's 1533-position model. The record is from RNAcentral.
GACGAACGCUGGCGGCGUGCUUAACACAUGCAAGUCGAACGGAAAGGCCCUGCUUUUGUGGGGUGCUCGAGUGGCGAACGGGUGAGUAACACGUGAGUAACCUGCCCUUGACUUUGGGAUAACUUCAGGAAACUGGGGCUAAUACCGGAUAGGAGCUCCUGCUGCAUGGUGGGGGUUGGAAAGUUUCGGCGGUUGGGGAUGGACUCGCGGCUUAUCAGCUUGUUGGUGGGGUAGUGGCUUACCAAGGCUUUGACGGGUAGCCGGCCUGGGAGGGUGACCGGCCACAUUGGGACUGAGAUACGGCCCAGACUGCUACGGGAGGCAGCAGUGGAGAAUAUUGCACAAUGGGCGGAAGCCUGAUGCAGCAACGCCGCGUGCGGGAUGACGGCCUUCGGGUUGUAAACCGCUUUCGCCUGUGACGAAGCGUGAGUGACGGUAAUGGGUAAAGAAGCACCGGCUAACUACGUG